This 71-nucleotide transfer RNA is filed under the name Bos taurus (domestic cattle). It matches the Rfam family "tRNA". From Rfam's summary of the family: Transfer RNA (tRNA) molecules are approximately 80 nucleotides in length. Their secondary structure includes four short double-helical elements and three loops (D, anti-codon, and T loops). RNAcentral also lists the same sequence under 4 other names. Lineage: Eukaryota; Metazoa; Chordata; Mammalia; Artiodactyla; Bovidae. The record is from Rfam by way of RNAcentral.
UCCCUGGUGGCUCAGCAGUAAAGAAUCUGCCUGCAAUGCAGGGGACCCAAGUUCAAUCCCUGGGUGGGGAA